GACGAACGCUGGCGGCGCGCCUCAUACAUGCAAGUGGAGCGACGGACCAGGGCUUGCCCUGGGGCCAAGCCGCGAACGGGUGAGUAACACGUGGGUAACCUGCCCCGAAGACCGGGACAACCCGAGGAAACUCGGGCUAAUACCGGAUGUGUUCGCCGCGCAUCAGCGCGGUGAGGAAAGGAAGCUUCGGCCUCCGCUUCGGGAGGGGCCCGCGGCCCAUUAGCUUGUUGGUGAGGUAACGGCUCACCAAGGCGACGAUGGGUAGCUGGUCUAAGAGGACGGACAGCCACACUGGGACUGAGACACGGCCCAGACUCCUACGGGAGGCAGCAGUAGGGAAUCUUGCGCAAUGCGCGAAAGCGUGACGCAGCGACGCCGCGUGGGGGAAGAAGGCCUUCGGGUUGUAAACCCCUUUCAGGAGGGACGAAGGUGCGGCGGCGAACAGCCGUCCGUACUGACGGUACCUCCAGAAGAAGCCCCGGCUAACUACGUGCCAGCAGCCGCGGUAAAAC
This 512-nucleotide ribosomal RNA is filed under the name uncultured bacterium. RNAcentral's name for it is "bacterial SSU rRNA". It matches the Rfam family "Bacterial small subunit ribosomal RNA", at positions 28 to 526 of the family's 1533-position model. The record is from RNAcentral.